RNAcentral lists this ribosomal RNA (484 nucleotides) under uncultured bacterium. RNAcentral's name for it is "partial 16S ribosomal RNA". It matches the Rfam family "Bacterial small subunit ribosomal RNA", at positions 28 to 523 of the family's 1533-position model. The record is from RNAcentral.
GAUGAACGCUGGCGGCGUGCUUAACAUAUGCAAGUCGAACGAUGAAGCCGGAGCUUGCUCUGGUGAAUUAGUGGCGAACGGGUGAGUAACACGUGAGUAACCUGCCCUUGACUCUGGGAUAACUGCGGGAAACUGUAGCUAAUACCGGAUACGACUCUCGGAGGCAUCUCCUGGGGGUGGAAAGAAUUUCGGUCAAGGAUGGACUCGCGGCCUAUCAGCUAGUUGGUGAGGUAAAGGCUCACCAAGGCGACGACGGGUAGCCGGCCUGGGAGGGUGACCGGCCACACUGGGGCUGAGACAUGGCCCAGACUCCUACGGGAGGCAGCAGUGGGGAAUAUUGCACAAUGGGCGCAAGCCUGAUGUAGCAACGCCGCGUGAGGGAUGACGGCCUUCGGGUUGUAAACCUCUUUUAGCAGGGAAGAAGCGAAAGUGACGGUACCUGCAGAAAAAGCACCGGCUAACUACGUGCCAGCAGCCGCGGUAA